CGGGAAUGUGUUCCAGUUUCCUGCCUUCCUCACUCUACCCUGAGACACCACAGUUAAAUUGGGUCCUGUGUAUCUGUGUCCAGAAAGGAAAUUGACAAAUUAACUAAAUCUUCAACUCAUUUGUUGUUCGGACUUGAGAAGAAGAGACGUGGGAAGAUCAUAAAAGUGAAAAGUCCAGCUCUCAAAGGCGCAGAACGGCUGAGGGGAAGAUGAAAGAAAUGCUGCUCAAAGGAGAUGCCCAGGUCUAUGGAGCAGAGACGGCCUCGUCUGUCUCUGAAAGCUGUGACGUCUGCUGGGGGUGAAGACUGGAGCAGUUCUUUAAAAGAUCAAGUAGUGAAGAAUCCUCUGGAAGGACUGCC
Long non-coding RNA from Arvicola amphibius (Eurasian water vole), 359 nucleotides. RefSeq lists it as uncharacterized. The transcript has 3 exons. Lineage: Eukaryota; Metazoa; Chordata; Mammalia; Rodentia; Cricetidae. The record is from RefSeq and is a predicted model, not a curated record.